This 252-nucleotide ribosomal RNA is filed under the name uncultured bacterium. RNAcentral describes it as "partial small subunit ribosomal RNA". It matches the Rfam family "Bacterial small subunit ribosomal RNA", at positions 26 to 285 of the family's 1533-position model. The record is from RNAcentral.
AGGACGAACGCUGGCGGCGUGCUUAACACAUGCAAGUGGAGCGACGAACCAGGGCUUGCCCUGGGGCAGAGCCGCGAACGGGUGAGUAACACGUGGGUUACCUGCCUCGAUGACCGGGACAACCCGAGGAAACUCGGGCUAAUACCGGAUGUGCCCGCAAGGGGAAAGGAAGCUUCGGCCUCCGCAUCGAGAUGGGCCCGCGGCCCAUUAGCUUGUUGGUGAGGUAACGGCUCACCAAGGCGACGACGGGUA